AAGAAAGUGACAGAAUGGUUAUGUGCUUGGCUUGAAACCAGGCUAUGGGGGUUCAAUUCCCUCCUUUCUCG
RNAcentral lists this transfer RNA (71 nucleotides) under Chaenogobius annularis (forktongue goby). RNAcentral describes it as "tRNA-Ser". It matches the Rfam family "tRNA". From Rfam's summary of the family: Transfer RNA (tRNA) molecules are approximately 80 nucleotides in length. Their secondary structure includes four short double-helical elements and three loops (D, anti-codon, and T loops). The record is from RNAcentral. Lineage: Eukaryota; Metazoa; Chordata; Actinopteri; Gobiiformes; Gobiidae.